CAAUAGCGUAUAUUAAAGUUGUUGCAGUUAAAAGCUCGUAGUUGGAUUUCUGGGAGGGUGCCAAUGUCCGCCAACGUGCGUGUGCAGCGGCGCCCUUCCAUCCUUCUGUUAACGCCUCUUGGCAUUCAUUUGCUGGUAGCGGGCUCAGAUAUUUUACCUUGAGAAAAUUAGAGUGUUUCAAGCAGGCAUACGCCUUGAAUACAUUAGCAUGGAAUAAUAAGAUAGGACCUCGGUUCUAUUUUGUUGGUUUCUAGAGCUGAGGUAAUGAUUAAUAGGGAUAGUUGGGGGCGAUUCGUAUUUAACUUGUCAGAGGUGAAAUUACUUGGUAUUGUUUAAAGAACGGACUACUGCGAAAGACAUUUGUCCAAGGAAUGUUUUCUAUUGAUCAAGAACGAAAGUUAAGGGG
RNAcentral lists this ribosomal RNA (406 nucleotides) under uncultured eukaryote. RNAcentral describes it as "bacterial SSU rRNA". It matches the Rfam family "Eukaryotic small subunit ribosomal RNA", at positions 592 to 997 of the family's 1831-position model. The record is from RNAcentral.